Molecule: non-coding RNA, 74 nt
Organism: Sciurus carolinensis (gray squirrel)
Lineage: Eukaryota; Metazoa; Chordata; Mammalia; Rodentia; Sciuridae
Source: the annotation of a RefSeq genome assembly
UGGGGCGAUAGCUCAGUUGGUAGAGUGCUUGCCUAGCAAGCAAAACGCCCUGGGUUCGAUCCCCAGCACCACAA